This 87-nucleotide transfer RNA is filed under the name Victivallales bacterium. Its description in RNAcentral is "tRNA-Leu". It matches the Rfam family "tRNA". From Rfam's summary of the family: Transfer RNA (tRNA) molecules are approximately 80 nucleotides in length. Their secondary structure includes four short double-helical elements and three loops (D, anti-codon, and T loops). Further hydrogen bonds mediate the characteristic L-shaped molecular structure. tRNAs have two regions of fundamental functional importance: the anti-codon, which is responsible for specific mRNA codon recognition, and the 3' end, to which the tRNAs corresponding amino acid is attached (by aminoacyl-tRNA synthetases). tRNAs cope with the degeneracy of the genetic code in two manners: having more than one tRNA (with a specific anti-codon) for a particular amino acid; and 'wobble' base-pairing, i.e. permitting non-standard base-pairing at the 3rd anti-codon position. The record is from RNAcentral. Lineage: Bacteria; Pseudomonadati; Lentisphaerota; Lentisphaeria; Victivallales.
GCCAGAGUGGUGGAAUCGGUAUACACAAGAGACUUAAAAUCUCUCGGCAGCAAUGCCUUACGGGUUCGAGUCCCGUCUCUGGUACCA